Molecule: microRNA precursor, 209 nt
Filed under: Oryza sativa Indica Group (long-grained rice)
Lineage: Eukaryota; Viridiplantae; Streptophyta; Magnoliopsida; Poales; Poaceae
Description: MIR812 microRNA precursor family
Rfam family: MIR812 microRNA precursor family
Source: Rfam by way of RNAcentral
AAUAAGUGUAGCCGUAAAAAUCCGUGUCCAACGUUUGACAAUCCGUCUUAUUUGAAAAUUUUAUGAAAAAAAAUAAAAAAAAUAGUCACACCUGAAAUAUUAUUCAUGUUUUAUCAUCUAAUAACAAUAAAAAUAGUAAUCAUAAAAAAAAAUUUAAAUAAAACGAACGAUCAAACGUUAGACAUAAAUAGUGCAAAACUGCACUUAUU